This 45-nucleotide non-coding RNA is filed under the name Schistosoma mansoni. The record is from RNAcentral. Lineage: Eukaryota; Metazoa; Platyhelminthes; Trematoda; Strigeidida; Schistosomatidae.
AUCCAGGUGACAAGUUCCAAAUAGGACGAAACGUGCGUCCUGGAU